This is a long non-coding RNA of Papaver somniferum (opium poppy), 2701 nucleotides long. RefSeq lists it as uncharacterized. The transcript has 2 exons. Lineage: Eukaryota; Viridiplantae; Streptophyta; Magnoliopsida; Ranunculales; Papaveraceae. The record is from RefSeq and is a predicted model, not a curated record.
CACCUAAAUCACCACCACCACCAUCUUCAACCACCACAACGAACAAUCUUAACCACCACUGUCUCAAUCAAUUCUCGGCAUCAGAAUCCAACCUUAGAUAUUCAGAAAUUCGAAUUCCAUUUCUAACAGCAACCACAACCAUCUCUUCCAUGAGCUCAAACAACAACUCAAACCCUGGUUUCCAUUUUCAUUACAGAUUCGCAAUUUCUUCUCUUCAUUCGAUUCCCGGCCACAAUCUCAGAUCCCCUGCAUCACAGCGAGACUCGAUCAUCGGAACCUAUCUUAAAAACAAAUCUCAACCGAAAAUUAUCAGAAAUUGAGAUCUAAAACCAGAUCCAUCUCCUAAAUCUUCAACUGAUAUUGAUUUCUGCAUCUUCUAAGAUAAGAGAACUGGUUGUUCUCUUCGAAACGGUUUUGGUGUUGGUGGCGGCGAUGGAGAUGAUGAUGGUGGAGUUAUGUUCGAUCGAUUUUUUUGGUGGUGAUAUUGACAGCGACGAAGGGAGGGGAAAGGUUGCUGAAAGAUAAGAGAGGUGGAGUUUUGAGAUCUGAAAUGGAAACCAAAAUAAACUUAAUCUGGUUUAAUAGAUAAAAUUGGAAUAAAAAUAUUUUUUUAUUUACUUAUGGAAGGUGAGGGGUAUCUUAUUUUACUAAUACGAAGAAAAGACAUCUUUUUGGUACGACCCAGAAAUUGGUCCGGUCACCCCUAGAUUACCAAUUUGCCCUUAACUGAAAACCGGGUUUCUUCACUGUGCGCCGGUAAAUUCACACAAAAGCAAGGGUAUCUAACAACUUCGAAUCUCUUUUUAUUUUCCGACUUCGUUUCUUUCUUCCUCCUCUUCUCCGUCUGAAAAUCUUAAUGGAACAACACCAAUCGAUCAAAACCAAUUAAACCAAACACUCUACGUCGAUCGGUUUUAUUAUUAGGGUUUUUUUCCAAUUUCAAUUCAACGUAUCUCAAUCAUAUCAAAACAUUUCCUAAUUAUCUCAACUUACAGAUUCAAACCCUAUUUCCCAAUUUGAAUUAGGGACCAAAUCGCGUGGUUUUAGGUUGGAAAUUUACAGUUCAAUUCAAGCUUCAUUUGCGCAAUAUAAGAUACUACAGGUUCGUUUUUGUUUCCUUUUUUAAUAUUGACCUAAAUUCUAUAAUUUGGGAUUUUCGCAUGUGAUUAACCUGUGCAAUUUUAGUUUCAGGGACUAGUUUCGCAUAUGAACUUUUGAUUCAAUUGUCAAAAAUUUAUACGUUAGGAAUGUUACAGAAACGUAAAUCAACUGAAAACGAUACCAUUUUAUAAGUAGCUACAUGGAUUUUCAACGGCUGUCAUGAUUAACAUCUUGGAAGUAGUUAAUUAGUAGCUUAUACGAAACAUGGUUAGCUAAUGAGUACACAACAAUUAGUUAAGAACUCUCCUUUGCUUUAACAUAUCUUUUAAUUAGAUGUACUUGCAUUAGCCAUAAUAAUUGUUACCUAAACAUGGUUAGAUAUUGAUCGGAUAACCUCUCUUUUCUGUACCAUGAAUCAUAACAUGCGGUGGAUUAUUCCCUGAAUUUAACACGGUGAUUCGGAAGAUUUUAUGGGGGUAAUGAUAUGGUAUUAUUUCGGUAAUGGAAAGGAGAAAAAUAUUUUUCUAGGAUAUCGGUAGUGGUUGUAUGUGCAUGAUUUGCUUAGUAUCGCCAAUUCUCUUGAUACAUGGGUUUCUAUACUCAAAAUACAGUUCCACUGACACCAAAGGAUGUAAAUGACAUCCAUAAACGGUGGGACUAUCCUUGGAUCAUUAAGAGGUGGCCAUCAUACCUCAAAGAUAGUUGAAAACAUCUAAGACCGGGGCAUCGAACAGCUACGGAGAUACAAAUGAGCAUGCAUCCGAGGCACACAAACAAGCUGUUGUCCAAGCAAUGUUAGGGGCUAGAAUUUCAAUAGUCAACAUCAGACGUCAUAGGGCAAGAUGGGAGAUGAAGCCGGUGUCUGAUAGGUUCUUUUUAGAUAAAAACUUUUCACUUGAAAAGAGAGACAAAUAAACUUGAAAAAUUAGCUUUUUAGCUCAAAGAAGAUGCCUAUCUCUGUUCCCAAUGCAAACAUUUGGAAACAGGCCGUUUACCUAUGAACCUAGGAAGUUUCAGAUUCACCAGCUAUUGAAGGGAAUUAUUCAAAUAAAAUCUAUUAGCUGACAUUAUGAGUAUGGUUUUAAAACACUCAGUUAUCUGAAUGUAUGAUACUCUUUGUUUUUUUUUUUUCAACCUGCAUAUUGAACCCAAGUCACAUACAAAGCUUUUAGAUGCUAUUAUGAAUACGGAGGAGUUCUAUUAGCUGGAGUCCUUUUGGUGUAAAUGGAAUUGUUUAAUUGAAAAGUUCGAUUUUGUUUGAAGUGGAAUGGAAUGGCAAGCGCAUCGCGCGUGCGGCUUUAGUAGAAGUUGAUGGAGUUCCUUAAUGAGAAUAAAUGUCGCUAUUAAACUUCAAGUUUCAAUUUCUCUUUUGCUGAAAAAUGUGGAUGGAAUGCCCACUGAUCAAGUUUAUAUUAGAAUUUUUAUGUGGAUAGCCUUCGUUUUUCUCUGUCGGGAUUUGGAAUCUUCUUUGGCCAGUAUCUUCAUAUUUGUUGCUUAAAUUUUUUAUGCUCUUUAGGAUCAAUAUUUUUGCCCCAAUACUAUUUUGGUGCAUCCAUGAUUUAAAAAUUUAUGAAUAUAUAAUGACGGACAUUAUUAUCUA